CUCUUUGUGCGGGAAAGAGCUCUAAAAAAAAUUCUCAGCAAAAUUUUGUCAUCGCCGACGUCGGGAAUAAUCGCUGGUUACGUUGCCGGAGAUGGAGAUGAAGGAUCAGGAUCUGGAAUUGGAGAAAGCUCGAUUGAUAUGCUUAGCUACACAGCUCGGAUUCGACGAAGAUUCCGCGAAAGAAAUGCUUGGCUCGAUUCGUCGCUCUUUACGGCGAUGAUGGUCGGGAUUUCAUCACUGUUGAGUUUGUGUGAUUUGAUGAUGCUUUUCUUGCGACGUUAGCUGAUUUUGAAGAGGGAACUGAGGAAUGGGAUGAUAUACACAGAGUCUGAAGCUAACCCUAGUGAUAACGGAUUCAAGACUGAUGAUGAUGAUGAUUCAAGAGUCCAAGUUCAUGUCAUUGAGGAUUCUCCUGAGCCAAAGAAACACCCGGAGGUAAUGGAUUUGGAUUCUUCUAGUGAUCGGGAAGAUAUUGAGACACGCUUCAAGCCUUCAAGGUUCCAAGGAGAUCACAGACAAGUUUUAUAAAUCGCUAUUUGAGAUCUGUCAUCUAUGUGUUGCAGGCCUUGGAUGAUCUGGAGUUUGGUAUUCUUUGGAAACAAGGUGUUUCGACCCCUGCAGCAUCAAGCAUGUAGAGCAUCUAUGGAUUGUUUUGUUCUAAUGCCAACGGGAGGGGGAAAAAGUCUGUGUUACCAGCUUCCUGCAACACUAAAAGCUGGAGUACAUGUCAGUUUAAUCAUCUUUGAGAGAACUUAUGGUGACACUACGACCUUACGGUCCUUCCACAUAGUUGUUUGGUGAUGCUUAAUUUCUUAGUUUCGACAGUAACUCUUUCACUUUUGCUUUAACGCGGUGAAAGGUACCGGAUCCCAAAUCGGGAAAUACGCCGGAGAAGACGGAGGCGAGAAGAAGAAUAAGCUUGAGGUUACUGGAAAAGCUCGUGGUUUGUGUUGUUGGAGUGUUCUGUCUCUGCGCCAGAAUCAGAAAAAGGAAGAAGAACGCUAAAACGCCAUCGUUGAAGUGUAAAAAGGGCAAAUCUCAGAGCUCAACGAGGAAGUUUAGUGUAAACCCUACUCUCGAUUUCUUGUACUCAAACUCACUAGGAGUUGAUACUUGGAGAGACAAAACUCUGUCAAAGAAAUACAAGAAACCGAGAAGGAUUUGAAUGAUAACAAUGGUGGAUUGCUUGAAGAAGAGGUAAAGAGAAGUAUUGAAACAGAGAUUUCACAAGAUUGGGACAAUGCUAGUAGUUAUUCAACUAAAGAGAUUGUGUCGGUGCACGAAACUGAUGAUGAACAAACAGUAAACUCUGUUUCUGCUCCUGUCGUUGUUAUCAAUGGACGCGAUGAUACUUCAGACGAUGAUGAGUCUUUUCAUUCCGUUAGUGUUGGCUCUCAGCAUUCAAAUCCAAGUCGAACACGUAUUUUUCCGACAAGUCUAAACUCAUAUGUUACCAGUAUCAUAAAUAGCAUAGCCAAUUUGUAUAUUUUGACCUUUAAUUCUGCUUAAAACCUGUGUACAUAAAUAAAACAAGCUUGAACAAUUCUCUGUGCAAAGGAGAUGAUGAUGAAUUUAUCCCUUUGCUCGAUUUAAGCGGAAACAAAAUGGUUCUCUGUGCAGAUUAAACCAGAGAAACUUAGCCUACGACUUAACAUUACCAUUAGCACGAGCUACACACGCUUGCUUUGGAUCCUACUAGUAGGCCUUAAGACAUAUAGCAACAUUAAGAUCUAGUUCAAGUAAGAUUUAACCUCAGGUUUUAGGAA
This is a non-coding RNA of Camelina sativa (false flax), 1766 nucleotides long. NCBI's taxonomy places the organism in Eukaryota, Viridiplantae, Streptophyta, Magnoliopsida, Brassicales, Brassicaceae. The record is from RefSeq and is a predicted model, not a curated record.